This 1071-nucleotide ribosomal RNA is filed under the name Triticum aestivum (bread wheat). Its description in RNAcentral is "partial small subunit ribosomal RNA". Lineage: Eukaryota; Viridiplantae; Streptophyta; Magnoliopsida; Poales; Poaceae. The record is from RNAcentral.
AUGUCUUCCCCCAUCGCUUGUGUCGGUGAGCCAUUGAGAUCCGCCUCUGCCAUCGUCGCCACCUCGGCGAGAGGAUAUCAUACCCUCAAGAUCGACGGUUACCGGUGCACCAAGGCGACCCCCGCGGGUGAGUUCCUCCAAUCCAGUCAGUUCUUCGUCGGCGGCCAUUGCUGGCGCAUCUACUAUUACCCCAAUGGCAAGGACUCCGAAACAGUGGAUUAUAUUUCCUUUUACCUCAAACUCGAUGAAAUUGUAACCGAGGAUGUGAAGACAAUGUUCACUAUUAAUUUCGCCAAGGUGCUUGGGAAGCGACUGUCAUGGCCGUCGGCAUCCACAACUGGAUAUGUUUUUGGUGGUAAGCAAAUGUGGGGAUAUCCAAACUUCAUCAAGAGGGAGAAUUUGGAGAAGUCGGAGCAUCUCAAGGAUGAUUCUUUCACAAUCAGGUGUGACGUUGUCGUCGUCCAUGACAUCUGCACCAAACAGACCAGCACUCCAAAGUUUGUCUUUGUGCCCCCACCGGAGCUGAAUCAGCACCUCGGUGAUCUCCUCAAGACCGAGAAGGGCGCUGACGUUGUGUUUGAGGUAGGCGGUGAGAUGAUUCCUGCACACCGGUGUGUGCUCGCGUCGCGAUCUCCAGUCUUCAGCGCGGAGCUCUUUGGUGUGAUGAAGGAGGGCGACACAGCCAGUGUCAUACACAUAGAUGACUUGGAGGCACAGGUGUUCAAGGAGUUGCUCUACGUUGCCUACACUGACUCAUUGCGAGAGGCAAAAGAAGAAGAGGAAGAUAUCAUGUGCCAGCAUCUGCUCAUUGCGGCGGACAGGUAUAACAUGGAGAGGCUAAAGCUGAUUUGUGAGGAAAAAUUAUGCAAGUACAUUGAUGCAGGCUCUGUUCCGACCAUUCUAGCACUUGCUAAGCAGUACCACUGCAAUGGGUUGAAGAAGGCAUGCUUUGAUUUUCUCAGCUGCCCGGCACAUCGGAGGGCAGUCGUGGCCACUGACGGCUUCAAGAAUUUGUGCAAGAGCUUCCAUUCUCUUGUGAUGGAGCUGAUUGCCAUGCCCUCGCCACCUUAG